RNAcentral lists this ribosomal RNA (403 nucleotides) under Verrucomicrobiota bacterium. RNAcentral's name for it is "Verrucomicrobia bacterium partial 16S ribosomal RNA". It matches the Rfam family "Bacterial small subunit ribosomal RNA", at positions 355 to 776 of the family's 1533-position model. Lineage: Bacteria; Pseudomonadati; Verrucomicrobiota. The record is from RNAcentral.
UGGGGAAUAUUGCACAAUGGGCGCAAGCCUGAUGCAGCAACGCCGCGUGAACGAUGAAGGUCUUCGGAUCGUAAAGUUCUGUUGCAGGGGAAGAUAAUGACGGUACCCUGGGAGGAAGCCCCGGCUAACUACGUGCCAGCAGCCGCGGUAAUACGUAGGGGGCUAGCGUUAUCCGGAUUUACUGGGCGUAAAGGGUGCGUAGGUGGUCUUUCAAGUCGGUGGUUAAAGGCUACGGCUCAACCGUAGUUAGCCUCCGAAACUGGAAGACUUGAGUGCAGGAGAGGAAAGUGGAAUUCCCAGUGUAGCGGUGAAAUGCGUAGAUAUUGGGAGGAACACCAGUAGCGAAGGCGGCUUUCUGGACUGCAACUGACACUGAGGCACGAAAGCGUGGGUAGCAAACAGG